RNAcentral lists this ribosomal RNA (396 nucleotides) under Triticum aestivum (bread wheat). RNAcentral's name for it is "partial small subunit ribosomal RNA". The record is from RNAcentral. Lineage: Eukaryota; Viridiplantae; Streptophyta; Magnoliopsida; Poales; Poaceae.
AUGCUAUACUUCUCCUAUCAAAAGAGCAAAUUGUACAUUAGACAUAUAGUAUUUGCACGGGUCCGUUCAAGCUUAACUAGGAAAAGGGGCAUUGAUGAGGACAUCAAUACCAUUGUUACACCCACAGCCCCUGCUGCUAUACAUACUGGACCAAUUACUAGAGCUCGUGCAUGCCAAUUAAAUUACCAGGUACUUUCGUUUCUUUGUAAUGAUUCUAAUCUUCAUGAGAAUAUGAUGCUGCCUAAAUUGGAUACAUUUGUUUUGCUUACAAAUGAAGGGCCUAGCUUGGAGAAGGAUGAACAAUGGAGCAAGAACAAGCAUGGAGAUGAUGGCAUGCGCAAGGGGAACAAGAACGGAGUUACAAGUGAUGAUUUCAGGAUGUUGAAGCCACCAUAA